UUAUAAAAAAUAAAUCAAUUUGUAUAAAAAGCUCAUCGGUUUUGUAUUUUUAUAAAAGUAUAUAUUUUUUUUGAUUUUACAGAUUAGGUCUAUAUUUUAGUAAACUGACCAAAAAAAUCUUGUUUUUCCUUCUCUCGCCUUUAUCUCUUAUUCAUUUUUUUUCUUCUUCCUCCUCGCUAUCAAUUUCUUUCUCCUCGCUAUCAAUUUCUUUUUCUCUUCCUGCUUUCUCUCCAUCCUCCUCCUUUUCCAUUGCCCCUAU
RNAcentral lists this long non-coding RNA (259 nucleotides) under Ananas comosus (pineapple). Its description in RNAcentral is "long non-coding RNA (ACOM_LNC009569)". Lineage: Eukaryota; Viridiplantae; Streptophyta; Magnoliopsida; Poales; Bromeliaceae. The record is from RNAcentral.